Molecule: non-coding RNA, 2262 nt
Organism: Protopterus annectens (West African lungfish)
Lineage: Eukaryota; Metazoa; Chordata; Ceratodontiformes; Protopteridae
Source: the annotation of a RefSeq genome assembly
AUGUAUGAUCUUAAGAAUUUUGGUACAAAUCUCACAGAGAAACUUGAGAUUGCAAUCAAGGGUAUAAAACAAAAUAACAGUCCUGGGAAGAAGAAGCAUCUACCAUAUAUUCCACCAUCUCGUCCCACAGUCUUGCUUUACAGUUCCAAGAUGGAAUCACCAAAUGAAGAUGCUCAUAUGGCAAUGCCUACAACAGAAAUACCAGACAUCAUCAAUUGCCUAAUCUCUGAAUUUUAUCCCAGCCUUUUAAAUGUUUCCUGGUACAUUGACGGGAUUCUUAUUUCAUCAAAUAUUACAAACUUUGGUCCCGCAGUUGACAGUGCUGGGAAAUACAUGUUGAACAGUGUUCUCAGAGUUCUGCCAUCUGACUGGAGCAAAGGAAGAGUUUUUACAUGUCGGGUCUCUCAUACAUCGUUAACUUCACCUAUUACAAGGAAAAUUCACAAACCAAAUAUUCCACCAUCUCGUCCCACAGUCUUGCUUUACAGUUCCAAGAUGGAAUCAUCAAAUGAAGCUGCUAAUACGGCAAUGCCUGCAACAGAAAUACCAGACAUCGUCAAUUGCCUAAUAUCUGAAUUUUAUCCCAGCCUUUUAAAUGUUUCUUGGUACAUUGAUGGGAUUCUUAUUUCAUCAAAUAUUACAAACUUUGGUCCCGCAGUUGACAGUGCUGGAAAAUACAUGUUGAACAGUGUUCUCAGAGUUCUGCCAUCUGACUGGAGCAAAGGAAGAGUGUUUACGUGUCGGGUCUCUCAUGUAUCUUUAACUUCACCUAUUACAAGGAAAAUUCACAAACCAAAUAUUCCACCAUCUCGUCCCACAGUCUUGCUUUACAGUUCCAAGAUGGAAUCAUCAAAUGAAGCUGCUAAUACGGCAAUGCCUACAACAGAAAUACCAGACAUCAUCAAUUGUCUAAGCUCUGAAUUUUAUCCCAGCCUUUUAAAUGUUUCCUGGUACAUUGAUGGGAUUCUUAUUUCAUCAAAUAUUACAAACUUUGGUCCUGCAGUUGACAGUGCUGGAAAAUACAUGCUGAACAGUGUUCUCAGAGUUCUGCCAUCUGACUGGAGCAAAGGAAGAGUUUUUACAUGUCGGGUCUCUCAUGCAUCUCUAACUUCACCUAUUACAAGGAAAAUUCACAAACCAAAUAUUCCACCAUCUCGUCCCGCAGUCUUGCUUUACAGUGCCAAGAUGGAAUCAUCAAAUGAAGAUGCUAAUAUUGCAAUGCCUACAACAGAAAUACCAGACAUCAUCAAUUGCCUAAUCUCUGAAUUUUAUCCCAGCCUUUUAAAAGUUUCCUGGUACAUUGAUGGGAUUUUUAUUUCAUCAAAUAUUACAAACUUUGGUCCCGCAGUUGACAGUGCUGGGAAAUACAUGUUGAACAGUGUUCUCAGAGUUCUGCCAUCUGACUGGAGCAAAGGAAGAGUGUUUACGUGUCGGGUCUCUCAUGCAUCUUUAACUUCACCUAUUACAAGGAAAAUUCACAAACCAAAUAUUCCACCAUCUCGUCCCGCAGUCUUGCUUUACAGUGCCAAGAUGGAAUCAUCAAAUGAAGAUGCUAAUAUUGCAAUGCCUACAACAGAAAUACCAGACAUCAUCAAUUGCCUAAUCUCUGAAUUUUAUCCCAGCCUUUUAAAUGUUACCUGGUACAUUGAUGGGAUUCUUAUUUCAUCAAAUAUUACAAACUUUGGUCCCGCAGUUGACAGUGCUGGGAAAUACAUGUUGAACAGUGUUCUCAGAGUUCUGCCAUCUGACUGGAGCAAAGGAAGAGUUUUUACAUGUCGGGUCUCUCAUGCAUCUCUAACUUCACCGAUUACAAGGAAAAUUCACAAACCAAAUAUUCCACCAUCUCGUCCCGCAGUCUUGCUUUACAGUGCCAAGAUGGAAUCAUCAAAUGAAGAUGCUAAUAUUGCAAUGCCUACAACAGAAAUACCAGACAUCAUCAAUUGCCUAAUCUCUGAAUUUUAUCCCAGCCUUUUAAAUGUUUCCUGGUACAUUGAUGGGAUUUUUAUUUCAUCAAAUAUUACAAACUUUGGUCCUGCAGUUGACAGUGCUGGGAAAUACAUGUUGAACAGUGUUCUCAGAGUUCUGCCAUCUGACUGGAGCAAAGGAAGAGUGUUUACGUGUCGGGUCUCUCAUGCAUCUUUAACUUCACCUAUUACAAGGAAAAUUCACAAACCAAAUAUUCCACCAUCUCGUCCCACAGUCUUGCUUUACAGUUCCAAGAUGGAAUCAUCAAAUGAAGAUGCUAAUAAGGCAAUGGUAUAA